UUAUAGACGGGGGCAACUGCACUCCUUACACGCCACGGAGUGGACCGGGGUGCUUCAAGGAGGUCUCCUGCCGCGGGAGGCUUUGAUUCGGCCGCUCGGCUUCACAGAACAAUCGUGGAGCGGCGCUCCCCCGGGGUGGCGGACUUGGCUCCCUUUAAUCCCCGGGUCUGUGUCCUCGGUGACUUGCUACAGAGGGGCUAUUAUUCGGGGCCUUAUUACUGCGCCCCUCGCGGCUUAUCUCCUUCCUGGUGACAGUCUUUUCAAGCCUCCCCCUAAUGACCUGGGGAAACUCACAUGCUCAACUUCCCAGGACUGCGUGGGCCUGGUUGAUGUCAGAGAGGGUGGAGAGCACGGACAGGGGUCCUGCGUCCCGCCGCAGGUGACUGAGCAAAGUUGGGAAUGAAGUUGCUGAUUGGGUUGGACGACUUUGAAAUAUCGUCCAGUAAAAAGUUGAUUAAGAAAAGUAGUCUGCUGGCACUGUCAUAACGUCCUACAGCCUGAGGGUUUAAUUAAAAGUCCUCUAUUCUU
Syngnathus acus (greater pipefish) is the source of this 528-nucleotide long non-coding RNA. RefSeq lists it as uncharacterized. The transcript is spliced from 2 exons. The record is from RefSeq and is a predicted model, not a curated record. NCBI's taxonomy places the organism in Eukaryota, Metazoa, Chordata, Actinopteri, Syngnathiformes, Syngnathidae.